This 1343-nucleotide ribosomal RNA is filed under the name uncultured bacterium. Its description in RNAcentral is "16S ribosomal RNA". It matches the Rfam family "Bacterial small subunit ribosomal RNA", at positions 28 to 1378 of the family's 1533-position model. The record is from RNAcentral.
GACGAACGCUGGCGGCGUGCUUAACACAUGCAAGUCGAACGGAAAGGCCCUGCUUUUGUGGGGUGCUCGAGUGGCGAACGGGUGAGUAACACGUGAGUAACCUGCCCUUGACUUUGGGAUAACUUCAGGAAACUGGGGCUAAUACCGGAUAGGAGCUCCUGCUGCAUGGUGGGGGUUGGAAAGUUUCGGCGGUUGGGGAUGGACUCGCGGCUUAUCAGCUUGUUGGUGGGGUAGUGGCUUACCAAGGCUUUGACGGGUAGCCGGCCUGAGAGGGUGACCGGCCACAUUGGGACUGAGAUACGGCCCAGACUCCUACGGGAGGCAGCAGUGGGGAAUAUUGCACAAUGGGCGGAAGCCUGAUGCAGCAACGCCGCGUGCGGGAUGACGGCCUUCGGGUUGUAAACCGCUUUCGCCUGUGACGAAGCGUGAGUGACGGUAAUGGGUAAAGAAGCACCGGCUAACUACGUGCCAGCAGCCGCGGUGAUACGUAGGGUGCGAGCGUCGUCCGGAUUUAUUGGGCGUAAAGGGCUCGUAGGUGGUUGAUCGCGUCGGAAGUGUAAUCUUGGGGCUUAACCCUGAGCGUGCUUUCGAUACGGGUUGACUUGAGGAAGGUAGGGGAGAAUGGAAUUCCUGGUGGAGCGGUGGAAUGCGCAGAUACCAGGAGGAACACCAGUGGCGAAGGCGGUUCUCUGGGCCUUUCCUGACGCUGAGGAGCGAAAGCGUGGGGAGCGAACAGGCUUAGAUACCCUGGUAGUCCACGCUGUAAACGGUGGGUACUAGGUGUGGGGUCCAUUCCACGGGUUCCGUGCCGUAGCUAACGCUUUAAGUACCCCGCCUGGGGAGUACGGCCGCAAGGCUAAAACUCAAAGGAAUUGACGGGGCCCCGCACAAGCGGCGGAGCAUGCGGAUUAAUUCGAUGCAACGCGUAGAACCUUACCUGGGUUUGACAUGGAUCGGGAGUGCUCAGAGAUGGGUGUGCCUCUUUUGGGGUCGGUUCACAGGUGGUGCAUGGCUGUCGUCAGCUCGUGUCGUGAGAUGUUGGGUUAAGUCCCGCAACGAGCGCAACCCUUGUUCACUGUUGCCAGCACGUUAUGGUGGGGACUCAGUGGAGACCGCCGGGGUCAACUCGGAGGAAGGUGGGGAUGACGUCAAGUCAUCAUGCCCCUUAUGUCCAGGGCUUCACGCAUGCUACAAUGGCUGGUACAGAGAGUGGCGAGCCUGUGAGGGUGAGCGAAUCUCGGAAAGCCGGUCUCAGUUCGGAUUGGGGUCUGCAACUCGACCUCAUGAAGUCGGAGUCGCUAGUAAUCGCAGAUCAGCAACGCUGCGGUGAAUACGUUCCCGGG